Molecule: ribosomal RNA, 236 nt
Filed under: uncultured bacterium
Lineage: Bacteria
Description: partial 16S ribosomal RNA
Rfam family: Bacterial small subunit ribosomal RNA
Source: RNAcentral
UACAGAGGUGGCAAGCGUUGUUCGGAAUUACUGGGCGUAAAGGGCUCGUAGGCGGCCAAUUAAGUCAGCCGUGAAAUCCCCAGGCUCAACCUGGGAACUGCGUCUGAUACUGGAUGGCUUGAAUCCGGGAGAGGGAUGCAGAAUUCCAGGUGUAGCGGUGAAAUGCGUAGAUAUCUGGAGGAAUACCGGUGGCGAAGGCGGCAGCCUGGACCGGCAUUGACGCUGAGGAGCGAAAG